CCUACGGGAGGCAGCAGUGAGGAAUAUUGGUCAAUGGACGAGAGUCUGAACCAGCCAAGUCGCGUGAAGGAUGACUGCCCUAUGGGUUGUAAACUUCUUUUAUAUGGGAAUAAAACGUUCCACGUGUGGGCUUUUGUAUGUACCAUAUGAAUAAGGAUCGGCUAACUACGUGCCAGCAGCCGCGUUAAUACGGAGGCUCCGAGCGUUAUCCGGAUUUAUUGGGUUUAAAGGGAGCGUAGGUGGAUUGUUAAGUCAGUUGUGAAAGUUUGCGGCUCAACCGUAAAAUUGCAGUUGAAACUGGCAGUCUUGAGUACAGUAGAGGUAGGCGGAAUUCGUGGUGUAGCGGUGAAAUGCUGAGAUAUCACGAAGAACUCCGAUUGCGAAGGCAGCUCACUGGACUGCAACUGACACUGAGGCUCGAAAGUGUGGGUAUCAAACAGGAUUAGAGACCCGAGUAGUC
This 460-nucleotide ribosomal RNA is filed under the name uncultured bacterium. RNAcentral describes it as "partial 16S ribosomal RNA". It matches the Rfam family "Bacterial small subunit ribosomal RNA", at positions 338 to 795 of the family's 1533-position model. The record is from RNAcentral.